CAAGUCGAACUAUAGAUGAGGAGCUUGCUCUUCAAAUCGAGUGGCGAAUGGGUGAGUAACGCGUGAGGAACCUGCCUCAAAGAGGGGGACAACAGUUGGAAACGACUGCUAAUACCGCAUAAGCCCACGGCUCGGCAUCGAGCAGAGGGAAAAGGAGAGAUCCGCUUUGAGAUGGCCUCGCGUCCGAUUAGCUAGUUGGUGAGGUAACGGCCCACCAAGGCGACGAUCGGUAGCCGGACUGAGAGGUUGAACGGCCACAUUGGGACUGAGACACGGCCCAGACUCCUACGGGAGGCAGCAGUGGGGAAUAUUGCACAAUGGGGGAAACCCUGAUGCAGCGACGCCGCGUGGAGGAAGAAGGUCUUCGGAUUGUAAACUCCUGUUGUUGAGGAAGAUAAUGACGGUACUCAACAAGGAAGUGACGGCUAACUACGUGCCAGCAGCCGCGGUAAAACGUAGGUCACAAGCGUUGUCCGGAAUUACUGGGUGUAAAGGGAGCGCAGGCGGGAGAACAAGUUGGAAGUGAAAUCCAUGGGCUCAACCCAUGAACUGCUUUCAAAACUGUUUUUCUUGAGUAGUGCAGAGGUAGGCGGAAUUCCCGGUGUAGCGGUGGAAUGCGUAGAUAUCGGGAGGAACACCAGUGGCGAAGGCGGCCUACUGGGCACCAACUGACGCUGAGGCUCGAAAGUGUGGGUAGCAAACAGGAUUAGAUACCCUGGUAGUCCACACCGUAAACGAUGAUUACUAGGUGUUGGAGGAUUGACCCCUUCAGUGCCGCAGUUAACACAAUAAGUAAUCCACCUGGGGAGUACGACCGCAAGGUUGAAACUCAAAGGAAUUGACGGGGGCCCGCACAAGCAGUGGAGUAUGUGGUUUAAUUCGACGCAACGCGAAGAACCUUACCAAGUCUUGACAUCCCUUGACGAACAUAGAAAUAUGUUUUCUCUUCGGAGCAAGGAGACAGGUGGUGCAUGGUUGUCGUCAGCUCGUGUCGUGAGAUGUUGGGUUAAGUCCCGCAACGAGCGCAACCCUUAUGGUCAGUUACUACGCAAGAGGACUCUGGCCAGACUGCCGUUGACAAAACGGAGGAAGGUGGGGAUGACGUCAAAUCAUCAUGCCCUUUAUGACUUGGGCUACACACGUACUACAAUGGCGUUAAACAAAGAGAAGCAAGACCGCGAGGUGGAGCAAAACUCAGAAACAACGUCCCAGUUCGGACUGCAGGCUGCAACUCGCCUGCACGAAGUCGGAAUUGCUAGUAAUCGUGGAUCAGCAUGCCACGGUGAAUACGUUCCCGGGCCUUGCACACACCGCCCG
This 1317-nucleotide ribosomal RNA is filed under the name uncultured bacterium. Its description in RNAcentral is "bacterial SSU rRNA". It matches the Rfam family "Bacterial small subunit ribosomal RNA", at positions 58 to 1396 of the family's 1533-position model. The record is from RNAcentral.